CUUGGCAACUAGGUAGCUUGGUUUGUGGCAGUGGGAUCCUUUGGCAGCUGCUUCUAGCAUGGUUCUGACCAGAAAGCAGAGAGUUGGGCAGGAAAAGAGGCCAGAAUCUACUCCCGAGGCCCACCCCUAUGUGGUCAAUUUCCUCCACCAAGGCUUUAUCUCAUGAGGUUUCCACAAUCUCCCCCAAACGAGCUGUCAGUUGGAGACAAAGUUGUCAAACAAUUGAGUAGAGCAUUUGCACCUGAGAACUGGAACAAGGAAUAACACAGCCGUCCAGGUGUGACGGUGUCCACGGCACGGUACUAUUUGGAGAAUGUGGGUUCAGGAUGAAGUUGUGAGCCUCCUUUCCCUGGACUUCCCACGUAACAGCGGAUGGAACCCAGAGCCUUACCCAUGCUAGACAAUCACUCCAUCUCCAGACUACGUCUUUAGCCUUGUCAUGGAGCUGUGGCAGGCAUGGGCAGCCCAGAGAAAGCUCACCUUCCAGGGCCUGGAGGUGGGGGACCACCACUACUUGUCUGUCCUCGGUCUGACAUGUGACCCUGGCAGCGAAGAUGACUACAGGGUAAAUGGAGUAGGAUCCGAUCACAUAGAAGAGGUCUCCUGAGUCCAUCGG
This is a long non-coding RNA of Mastomys coucha (southern multimammate mouse), 616 nucleotides long. RefSeq lists it as uncharacterized. The transcript is spliced from 3 exons. Lineage: Eukaryota; Metazoa; Chordata; Mammalia; Rodentia; Muridae. The record is from RefSeq and is a predicted model, not a curated record.